Thamnophis elegans (Western terrestrial garter snake) is the source of this 1703-nucleotide long non-coding RNA. RefSeq lists it as uncharacterized. Lineage: Eukaryota; Metazoa; Chordata; Lepidosauria; Squamata; Natricidae. The transcript has 3 exons. The record is from RefSeq and is a predicted model, not a curated record.
GGUCCUUGGUGCUCUCUGAGCUUGCAGACAUUGUAUGGCCCAGAAGGCUGGUGUGGGAGCCCCGUCCUUAGUGGCUCUGGGCAGCUCACAGACAGGUGAGAAGGCGAAGCGCCAUGGAAACCGGCAAAGCAGAAGCCGAAAAGGAGGAGGAGGGUGUUUGCAGCCUCUGCAAUGAGCCUGGUCCGCUUUCCGUUAAGCGCUGAGCUCUGCCCUUUAUGGAACCCAUAAAGCUCCCCACAGACCAGCCGUUCUCUUGCGGGAUCUUGCAAAGCGCCCAGAUCUCCGCCGGUUGCUCUUUAACCGGCAGGCUGAUCCCGGGGGAUUCACCUUGCCGGCACGUUUCCUCCCUCAGGGCCCACAGAGGAUCAACCCGCCAGCAGCAGCCGCUUGAAAACAAAGAGGAGAUCGCAGGGCGGCUCCAGGAGACCUAGGAGCGGUUCUCGAAGGGAGUGUGGGGCAGCCCCCAGGCAGAGAGGAAAACUACCAAGGUGGGAAAGUGAGGAAGAGGAAGAAGGAGGAGGAGAAGCUGCUUGGGGCACCUGCCCAAUCUGCACAGGCCGUUUCCCGUCCGAGGACUUGCCCGCCCAUUCCUCCACCUGUGGGGAAGAGACAGAGGUGGCCUCUUUGUCCCCCGUGUGGGGGUCCUGGGUGGAGUGCCCCCUCUGCCAAGACCGCUUUCCUGCCUCCGAGGUGGAGGGCCAUGCCAGCGGCUGUGGGGAAGAACACGCUUAGUCCUCGGUCCCAGGCGGCUUCCAAAGAGGAGGGCGGAUGGGGCCCUUGGACCUCAGCCUCCGAGGCUUCCGGGCUCUCUUGGUGAGAUGUUAGAGAGAAGGGGCUGGGAGACCCUCCCUCAAGACCUCUGCAGAGAAGAGGACGUGACGGCGGUCGGAGUGGGCGAACCGAUCCCAGAUCUCCUUGGAGGCACACUCAAGAUGCUGAAACCGGACUCCGUGACCCACAAAUCCACAGCCAUUUGCCUCUGACUCCCCGAGCAGGUUGCAGUGACUAAGAGGGAUGGGCUGCAGGCUCCCUGGAUCCACUGGGACGUUUCAAACAUCCAGAUGUUACAGCUGUUUUAACCUGUCGGCCCAGCAGAUACCUUUCUCCUCCUCCUCCUCCUCCUCCUGCUGCAGGCGGAAGAGGGUGCGAUUUGACUCAAGAGCCUCUGGGUUUCUGUGGGGAGAGGAGGAAUGGGAAGGCUGGGAUGAAGGCCAGAAGAUGGGCCGGCAUGGAGGCCACGGGGUGGGGUCUCCGUGGGAGGGGUGCCUCAAGGCUGCGGACCUUCAGCUUAAGGCCACCCAGGUUUUGCGGAAUCCUCCUUGCCCUCUGAAUUGGGGGUGGCAGGAGGGAGGGAAAGGGUGGUGGCCUAGAGAGGGCUGAAAGCCCUAUGAAGCGGUAUAUAAGUCUACUGCUAUUGCUAUUGGCCCAACAGGCUGCAGAUUGCCCCAAAUAUCCCAGCUGGUAUCUGGCUGGAAGGUCACAAGGCAAACUUUCAAACGGAAAAGAAAGUUGCUUUCCUGGAACAAUGGCUCAACUCCAUGUGUGUGUGUGUGUGUGUGUGUGUAUUUGUGUGUGUGUACACACACAAAAACGUAUGCUUGAAAUACAAACUCCAAAAGGAGGAUUGUAAAUAUGUGUGUGUACAUAUAUAUAUAUAUAAUUUUAUUGAAGAAAUGUAUAAGUAUUUUUGUCUUUAAUGCACA